RNAcentral lists this ribosomal RNA (236 nucleotides) under Tetragenococcus halophilus. Its description in RNAcentral is "partial 23S ribosomal RNA". It matches the Rfam family "Bacterial large subunit ribosomal RNA", at positions 234 to 472 of the family's 2925-position model. The record is from RNAcentral. Lineage: Bacteria; Bacillati; Bacillota; Bacilli; Lactobacillales; Enterococcaceae.
AUUCCCUGAGUAGCGGCGAGCGAAACGGGAACAGCCCAAACCAGAAUGCUUGCAUUCUGGGGUUGUAGGACGUUUAUACACGGACAGGACGGUUAGCCGAAGGCUUUGGGAUAAGCCGCCGAAGCGGGUAAGAGCCCCGUAGGCGAAAACUGUCAGGUUCGUAAACGGAUCCUGAGUACGACGGGACACGCGAAAUGCCGUCGGAAACCGGGAGGACCAUCUCCCAAGGCUAAAUA